Molecule: long non-coding RNA, 1243 nt
Filed under: Anas platyrhynchos platyrhynchos (common mallard)
Lineage: Eukaryota; Metazoa; Chordata; Aves; Anseriformes; Anatidae
Description: lncRNA (ENSAPLG00000026827.1)
Source: RNAcentral
UGCUAUCAGAGCUUGGUUCUGGGGUUCUUGCUUUGUGCCAGACCACCACUAAUACAGGACAAAACCAACACAAACCUGUCACCCCUUAACACACAGAGGAAUGAGGCAGCUGCUGGAGACAAGGGAAGAGGAAGAAUGCUGUACAAGCACAAAAAAAUACCUCUGUACUAGCAGACAUCACCACUGACAUCAGACAAAUACUCUGACCCUUAAAUUCGAUGCAAAGGCACCCACAAACUUCAGUGCUGCACUGCAAUCCUUAGUAUAUUAGCCCUUCAAAACAACUCAUUAUGUGACUGGACGCAGCUGCAGAGCACAGCAAGAGCAAAAGGGUCAGUGUCUGAGCCGUGUCUCUGCAAACCCCAUAAAAAGGCCAGCAGAGGCUUGUCCCUCAGUGACUGGGAAGGCUGCCCAGCAUCAUGUCAGGGGAGCACCCUCGAGGUUUGCAGCUCUCUGGCAGACCUCUGUGGGUCUUGUCUUGCUUCAUUAACUCCUCGGGGCUGCUGCACUGCAGAGAUAGGCAGAGCAUCAAUGACUUUGUUGGGUUUUGUUUUUUUAAUUCAUUUAAACAGCAGAGCUGGGUGGGACCGGGGAGGCAGCAGCCAAUUAAGGAACCAUCAAACUUCUCUUAAAAGCCUCCCUCAACAAUGCUCCCUGCUCCUGCCUCCAGCCAACAUGGAAUGCCUGAGGAUACAUCUUGUCCCCAGAGCCUAAUUCCUGUAGGAGUCAUAGACCAAUACAGACUUAUAUUGAGACCUUAAGUUUUCUUCAUGAGCUAGAAGACCCAAACAACGACCGUUGUCCAGAAACAUUCACCACCCUGGGGAAAGCUUCCUUUCAUGGCAAAUCUGUCUGAAAGACACCACAAGCAUCUGGUCACUAGUGAAAUACUGUCAUGUAAGUGGUGAUACCUCUUUAUACAAGUCACUUCUAUGUAUCUUAGAGAAAAUAAGUUUGUUUCAACUCUGUCUGCCUAUUGUUUUACCAUAAACAGAUACCUACAAAGGUAAUCAGCAUGCCCCAGGGCCAAGGGCAUCAUUUCUCUCGACCAUUGUCAGUAAUGGCCAAUAACACCAGCCGACAUAGUAAAGGGAAGUGACAGCAGGGAAAUAAUUUAGCCUUUAACUGACAUGUUAUCCAGUUAAAAGCCAUUUACCUUCUGCUGCUUGGUGUGUCAUUGCUCAUUUUAGUUUUGAAGUGACAUCUCCCCAAGUGCCAUUAACAUGCCAGCAGUGAAAGGAAU